CAUUAGUGAACUGAUCAGAUCCACCUAAAACCUACUCGGCCGAUCCCAAACUACCUACCCUAGCUAGCUCUAAUUAAUUAGAAGCCCGGAGUUACUUAAACUACCCUAGCAAGCUUAAUUAGCUAGCAGAAAUUAUUAUUCUAAAUAUACGAAAGGAAAACUACAGUACUGUCUGUUUCUGUUCAUUUCGCAAAAGCGACAAAAUGAAUGAAUAGUCCCUUGUCCGGAAAAGAACCGUUCUACCCUCAGUUGAGAUCUAUCUUCUUCUACAGUCGGCCGUUCUCUGAUCUGUAUUCCAUCUCCAGCAUCAUCAUUCAAUCUUCAGAGGUCUAAUUGGGUGACUGAGUUGGCAGGUGAAGGACUUGGGUCCAGCAAAGACUGUCCAGAUUUGCCGUUUAUCAAUAUCCCAAGUUUCAGAUUGGAUUGUGGCUUUUGCAGAAGGGCUUUUUCGAUCGGUCACCUUCCACGAGAUUGAGGUAUUCGACAAGAAGCAGCUACUUCAUAAGAAGACAUUACUUUGUUGCAUGUUUAAAACAGAACAUUAGCUAAAGUGUCGGGCUCCAAAGUUUGAAGUGGAGGGUUCAAAAGUUUUUGAGAAGCUUCAAAAACACAAGAAGUAGGAGAAGCUUGAAGAUGCUUAAAGAUUAAAUUAUUCAUGCAGCUCCAAAUAGCCCAAGCAGUGUAGAGAAUUGAAGCCAGCGCCUCAGCAGAAGAAGAAUUCUUACUCAUAUGCUCAAUCCAAGACAACAAUGAGCUAUUCCAAGAUAAAGGAUUAGGCAGAUUAGGAGAUGGAGCUAAAGACCAAACUUGAACGGCAAAAGGACAAUGCAUAAAAAGAUGAUCAAUGGAUUCUACUGUGUUUAGAUAAAAUGGACACUGUAUGAACAGUGAAAUGACUGGUUUACCCACUUGCUCUUAUUUUAUGUUUUUUUUACACCUUUGUCAUUGACCUAGCUAUACACCUAUACCCAAAUACCCAAAUUGUUGAUCCCAAUCGUGCCACUACCGAUUCUUGCGUGUCUUCUACAGCCGUAUAAAUGAGUUUGAGAUAGUGGGUUGAUUUUUGGUUCCUUGCCUUUGAUCUGUGAAUUUGGAUUUGCUUUCUUUCUUUCUGCUCAUUAUCCCCUCUAAUUUCAGUUUUCGUUGGGUCUUUUUGAUUGCUUGCUCUUGGUCCAAAGAACUAUCUGAUCAGUGGAUUAUAGUUUAAAACAGAUUGAGUGAAAGCGUCCCUCAGUUGGUAAUUUUUGUAGAUCAAUUUUGGUUUGCAGUUUUGGAUCGAACUGGGUGUAAAGCAAUUUUGGGUGCGGUUUUGAUUUUUUUGGGUUUGUUUAUUUAUUUUUAUUCAUUGAUGUUAUCAUUUAGGAGAUUGUAAAAACCAUUUAGGAGACCAUCAGUGAAUAAAGUCAUAGCAAAGAACGUUUGAUAAAACUGGCAUUGAUGUUUCUGAAUAGAUGGGUGCUGAAGUUUAAUGUUCCUUAAUUUGUCCUGUUUUUGUGACUAUGUAAGAAAGUAUUUACAUUUGAACAGGCUCAAUUUUCAAAUUUUGAGAGAUGUUUAUCUAUUUUAUUUUGUUUAGAUGUCAUAUUUUAUCUACUCAUUGAUUAUUGUUGUCGUCACUGUUUCUUUUUUUAUAUUUUUUUAUCUCUCUUUAUGCAUUGAAAAUUUGAUUCAUUGUUUUCUGUGUAGUUGGAGCUUGAAGGCUGCAUAUACUCAAGAAGUCCUAACUUUUUGACUCAAAUAAUGUUUAAACUUUUUGACACUGCAAUCUUCUUACUAUCACACCACCAUCGUGUCUAACUUCAUAAGUUCUGAUUUAAGAAACAAUGAAAUUUGUACUCAUCAACAAGAUAACAACUCCAGCUCCAGCAUUUUGUGCAGCUACAAUGACUGGUAACUAAAAGUUUGGAUCAACUCCAACAUUUUGUACAACUACAAUUGGAGCAGCCACUUUUUCCACCUACUUUUGCUACGCUGACUUAGAACUAAACCUUUUGUAAAGCUACAACUGAAGCAGCCAACCCUGUUGAACAACUAGCAUUUCUGAACCAACUCUAGUGGCAACUUUGUUAUGUUAACCUGUUUUUUUAAUACACUUUUGUUAGAUUAACCUUUUUGUAUAAAAAAUCUUUCACUGUUUCAAUAGAAUGCAAUAAUUUUCCUUUUGUA
Rosa rugosa (rugosa rose) is the source of this 2166-nucleotide long non-coding RNA. RefSeq lists it as uncharacterized. The record is from RefSeq and is a predicted model, not a curated record. The transcript is spliced from 8 exons. NCBI's taxonomy places the organism in Eukaryota, Viridiplantae, Streptophyta, Magnoliopsida, Rosales, Rosaceae.